This 253-nucleotide ribosomal RNA is filed under the name uncultured bacterium. RNAcentral's name for it is "partial 16S ribosomal RNA". It matches the Rfam family "Bacterial small subunit ribosomal RNA", at positions 524 to 776 of the family's 1533-position model. The record is from RNAcentral.
UACGGGGGGGGCAAGCGUUGUUCGGAAUUACUGGGCGUAAAGGGCUCGUAGGUGGCCAACUAAGUCAGACGUGAAAUCCCUCGGCUUAACCGGGGAACUGCGUCUGAUACUGGAUGGCUUGAGAUUGGGAGAGGGAUGCGGAAUUCCAGGUGUAGCGGUGAAAUGCGUAGAGAUGUGGAGGAAUACCGAUGGCGAAGGCAGCCCCCUGGGCCAACACUGACGCUCAUGCACGAAAGCGUGGGGAGCAAACAGG